AUAAACAAUGUUUAUAAGUCUUUAGUUUACAUUUUAGACUAUUUGAAGACAAACAGGAGCAUAAACUGAAACUCCUGGAUUAUAAAAACUCACCAGAACAAAGWAUAAAGUCACAAUUUCACAUUUUCAGAUGUGAACCGCCGCUGCAGUACUCCCCCAGAGCCACAGAGGGCGCUGGUGUUCACAAUACAGCAGAGCUCUACAGAUAGCAGCUUCUCCUGAGGAAAAAUGGGUUUAUUGAUGCCUGUAAGGCCUUUGAUUAGCUUAGCACUAAAAGUUUGAUCAAUUAAAACAGGAUUUUAAUUUACUGGCUCUCCAGAUGCAUGUAGCAGCAACUGUGGCGAGUCGGCCUGGGCUUCUUUCACCUGCUUCACCUGGUUUUAUCUGUGGGGCAAAAGCUGAAAUGUUGGUUCAGAAACCAAACAUGACAGGAUGGUGAUGAUGAAGAGCCAGGCUAACAUUCAGGUGAGGAGGCUUCGCUCAGGUGAGGUAAGUUUACCGCAUGUCCCCGUUUACGGCUGUUUAAAAGCUUAAAGUCCCUGAUGAGACAUUGAGGGUGAGACGUUUGGUAACUCGGGUCAGUUUCUGUGAGCAUCUUACUGCCGUCACUUCGUGCUACUUCUCUUUGUGAUGAAUAAAUUAAUCCGUCAUUAUAAAUAUUAAAUAAUCUCAAGACUUUUUCUACGUUUAAUUAAUCAGAGCUUCAGUCUUUUCUUUCUACUGGACUGAAAAGUCUCCAGACCAACAGGAAUGAUAACCGACCAACACUGAUAAUAAAUAAAAUCUUUAAUGUCAGUUCUGUUUGUAUAUCCAGAGUACAGACAGAUAAAUACAACAACAUCCACUUCCUGUUUUCAUUCAAGUAAAACAAACACUUCAGUGCUUUCAGAGCCGAUGGAAGAUUUAACAGCAUGAAGUUCACUGGAAGAAAGUCAUCAUGCAGGUCAGGAUAUUGCAGAGAACUUUGGCUUCAAAACAACAACGAUGGUUAAAGUAGCAGACCUGAACGCAGCACAACGACCUUCCUGUGUGCUGACCAGCCGCUCGGCUCGGCCAAUCAGGGAGCUGCCUGAGUUACAUUCAGCAGUCAGACGGAGACGGCGUGGCUGGAACCAACCCCACCCCCAAUCAGAGACGACCUGCACAGGUCAGAGGUCAACAGAAAGCUUUGUCCAACCUGCUCCUCCAUGGAAUGCUUUUAUUUUGAAACAUCCACUGCCUUCUGCUUUCUCACUUCACAAACCGACACGUUUCAGUUAACGAUCACUUCCUCUAUUGGUAACUCGACCCAUUUAUUACUUCAGUAUAAACAUCACUAACACCUGGACACCUGGGAAGCCCCGCCCACUGACCCCUGAACUCUACAGGUUGGAAUCAGGAAACGAAGAGCUUCUGCUCAGACGGCCGACGCCAUCAGAUCGACUAACAGUCAAGAUGCAGGAGAACCCAGAGAGCAGAGCAUGCUAUCUGCCCCGUUAUCUGCCCCACCCCAUCAAUAUUUACCCCUGGGGAAAUCCAGCUGGUUUACUGUAGAUAAACACAGGAAGCAGCCGAGAACUUUCACAAUAAGAGUCCAGAUGGCUUCGUCCAGCAGAAAUGGUAGGAGACGUGAAACACACCUGGUCAUGGUGGCAACAGGCCAGAAGCUCAUUAGCAGUUAACGAGCUAACGCUAACUGGUGCUAACUGGGACCAGGUGACUGGUUCCUGGAAUCACCUGUCAGGUUCCACCUGCUGCAGUGUGACAUCAUGAUGAUGUCAUAAGCUGGAGGUGAUGCUGCUGGUCUACCAUGUUUGGAUUGUAAGUCUU
Molecule: long non-coding RNA, 1809 nt
Organism: Poecilia reticulata (guppy)
Lineage: Eukaryota; Metazoa; Chordata; Actinopteri; Cyprinodontiformes; Poeciliidae
Source: RefSeq, a predicted model, not a curated record